UACGUAGGGGGCAAGCGUUGUUCGGAUUUAUUGGGCGUAAAGGGCAUGUAGGUGGCAAGAUAAGUGUGGAUUGAAAGGUUAGAGCUUAACUCUAUACUUGGUCUGCAAACUAAAUUGCUAGAGUGCGGGUGGGGAGACUAGAAUUCCGCGUGUAGGGGUAAAAUCUAUAGAUAUGCGGAAGAAUACCGGUGGCGAAGGCGAGUCUCUGAUCCGUAACUGACGCUGAGAUGCGAAAGCGUGGGGAG
This 245-nucleotide ribosomal RNA is filed under the name uncultured bacterium. RNAcentral describes it as "partial 16S ribosomal RNA". It matches the Rfam family "Bacterial small subunit ribosomal RNA", at positions 524 to 768 of the family's 1533-position model. The record is from RNAcentral.